Molecule: microRNA precursor, 81 nt
Filed under: Bigelowiella natans CCMP2755
Lineage: Eukaryota; Cercozoa; Chlorarachniophyceae
Description: miRNA EPrBNAG00000013672
Source: RNAcentral
UGAUGAUGAUGAUGAUGAUGAUGAUGAUGAUGAUAAACACGACCGAUAAACAGAUCAUCAUCACCAUCCUUCUCUCCACAA